This 303-nucleotide ribosomal RNA is filed under the name uncultured bacterium. RNAcentral describes it as "bacterial SSU rRNA". It matches the Rfam family "Bacterial small subunit ribosomal RNA", at positions 355 to 675 of the family's 1533-position model. The record is from RNAcentral.
UGGGGGAUAUUGCACAAUGGGGGGAACCCUGAUGCAGCGACGCCGCGUGGGCGAUGGAGUGCUUCGGCAUGUAAAGCCCUAUCAGCAGGGAAGAAAAUGACGGUACCUGACUAAGAAGCCCCGGCUAAAUACGUGCCAGCAGCCGCGGUAAUACGUAUGGGGCAAGCGUUAUCCGGAUUUACUGGGUGUAAAGGGAGCGUAGGCGGCCUGGCAAGCCUGAUGUGAAAUACCGGGGCCCAACCCCGGGGCUGCAUUGGGAACUGCCAGGCUGGAGUGCCGGAGAGGCAGGCGGAAUUCCUAGUG